This 410-nucleotide ribosomal RNA is filed under the name uncultured eukaryote. Its description in RNAcentral is "bacterial SSU rRNA". It matches the Rfam family "Eukaryotic small subunit ribosomal RNA", at positions 592 to 1018 of the family's 1831-position model. The record is from RNAcentral.
CAAUAGCGUAUACUAAUGUUGUUGCAGUUAAAAGCUCGUAGUCGGAUUUCAGUUUAUUUGCCCAUCGACCUCGGUUGUACGGUAAAUUCACUUCAUGACGUAAGCUUGCAUGUACUUCAUUGUGCGUGCUUUGUGAACGUCUCAUUUACUUUGAGAAAAUUAGAGUGUUCAAAGCAGGUAUAUUGCCUGAAUAUUACUCUUGGAAUAAUAAUAUAGGACUUCAGUCUUAGUAUGUUGGUGAUCUAGGACCGGAGUAAUGAUUGAUAGGGACAGUUGGGGUCAUUCAUACUGCAAAGCGAGAGGUGAAAUUCUUGGACCUUUGUAUGAUGAACAACUGCGAAAGCAUUUGACUAGGAUGUUCCCGUUGAUCAAGAACGAAAGUUGGGGGAUCGAAGACGAUUAGAUACCGU